AAGGGUAUGGCUCAGCAGUAGAGUGCAUGCUGGCAUGCAUGAGGUCCUGGGUUCAAUCCCCAGUACCUCCA
RNAcentral lists this transfer RNA (71 nucleotides) under Camelus bactrianus (Bactrian camel). It matches the Rfam family "tRNA". From Rfam's summary of the family: Transfer RNA (tRNA) molecules are approximately 80 nucleotides in length. Their secondary structure includes four short double-helical elements and three loops (D, anti-codon, and T loops). Further hydrogen bonds mediate the characteristic L-shaped molecular structure. tRNAs have two regions of fundamental functional importance: the anti-codon, which is responsible for specific mRNA codon recognition, and the 3' end, to which the tRNAs corresponding amino acid is attached (by aminoacyl-tRNA synthetases). tRNAs cope with the degeneracy of the genetic code in two manners: having more than one tRNA (with a specific anti-codon) for a particular amino acid; and 'wobble' base-pairing, i.e. permitting non-standard base-pairing at the 3rd anti-codon position. The record is from Rfam by way of RNAcentral. RNAcentral also lists the same sequence under 2 other names. Lineage: Eukaryota; Metazoa; Chordata; Mammalia; Artiodactyla; Camelidae.